Molecule: antisense RNA, 75 nt
Filed under: Streptomyces sp. NRRL F-5755
Lineage: Bacteria; Bacillati; Actinomycetota; Actinomycetes; Kitasatosporales; Streptomycetaceae
Description: ASpks sRNA
Rfam family: ASpks TB sRNA
Source: RNAcentral
CUUCACCGCGCCCAGCAGCAGCGGCUGCUCCGCAGGCCGCCCCUGGCCGUAGGUGGCGAGGAGCGCCUGCGCCUC